This 788-nucleotide long non-coding RNA is filed under the name Nicotiana benthamiana. RNAcentral's name for it is "long non-coding RNA (NBEN_LNC029859)". Lineage: Eukaryota; Viridiplantae; Streptophyta; Magnoliopsida; Solanales; Solanaceae. The record is from RNAcentral.
UCACCCUUCUUUCCAAACAUUGGUCCGCCAAAUGACCUUUUUACCCUCAAAGAUGCAACAUUUAGCACAUAGGAUGAUUAGAUGUCAUUUUGGGCCAUAAGACCAUUUUUGACAUAAUUUGGACAGGCCUCCUACAAAGGGACAUGGUGCCUGGGACCGAGCCCUACUAAGUCUGAUUAAUAUGAUGCAAAUAAGCAUAACCUAAAAUGAUUAAAUGUCAUAUUGGGCCAUGGGCCCAUAUUGACAAAAUUUGGACAGGCUCCCUAUAAAGGGACACGGUACCUGGGACCGAGACCUACUAGGUGUAAAUGACAUGAUGCAAAUAAAAAUGACCUAAGUUUGGGGUUCACUAACAAGGCAAUUCGGGGGAGCGUAUGGUCAAUAGUGGCUGCUCAAGCUUUCCACCCACUCCAUACGUCCGACGGUCCCCCCUCCUAAAUUAAGGGUGACUCAACGAAGAAUUCGUGCAGGCGGCGCGUGCUCCGAGACUUGUUGCAGAAAGAAUUGACCGAGUAAUGCAUAUGAUGACACUUAUAAAGCAGUAAACACAUAAAGCAAAACUGUAACCGCAUAAACAACUAGCAAGUAAUAAAAUAUAAAACAUAAUAAAAAUUGAGCAAAGCUAAAUAAAUAAAUAAUAAAAAACAUUAAAAAAACUCAACCAAAUAUUCUAAAGCCAACAAAAUCGAGUACUAGCUCGAACCCACGAGUGUCCCCAUCAGAGUCGCCAAAGAUGCCACACCUCUUUUUUUUUCAAAACAAACUUUUCUUAAACCUCUUAAAUUAAU